RNAcentral lists this ribosomal RNA (253 nucleotides) under uncultured Anaeromyxobacter sp. RNAcentral describes it as "partial 16S ribosomal RNA". It matches the Rfam family "Bacterial small subunit ribosomal RNA", at positions 524 to 776 of the family's 1533-position model. The record is from RNAcentral. Lineage: Bacteria; Pseudomonadati; Myxococcota; Myxococcia; Myxococcales; Anaeromyxobacteraceae.
UACAGAGGGUGCGAGCGUUGUUCGGAAUUAUUGGGCGUAAAGCGCGUGUAGGCGGCCUUGCAAGUUGGGUGUGAAAGCCCUCGGCUUAACCGAGGAAGUGCGCCCAAAACUACAAGGCUUGAGUGCCGGAGAGGGUGGCGGAAUUCCCGGUGUAGAGGUGAAAUUCGUAGAUAUCGGGAGGAACACCAGUGGCGAAGGCGGCCACCUGGACGGUAACUGACGCUGAGACGCGAAAGCGUGGGGAGCAAACAGG